UACAGAGGUCUCAAGCGUUGUUCGGAUUCCUUGGGCGUAAAGGGUGCGUAGGUGGCGCCGUAAGUCAGGUGUGAAAUUUCGGAGCUUAACUUCGAAACUGCAUUUGAUACUGCGGUGCUUGAGGACUGGAGAGGAGACUGGAAUUUACGGUGUAGCAGUGAAAUGCGUAGAUAUCGUAAGGAAGACCAGUGGCGAAGGCGGGUCUCUGGACAGUUCCUGACACUGAGGCACGAAGGCCAGGGGAGCAAACGGG
RNAcentral lists this ribosomal RNA (253 nucleotides) under uncultured bacterium. RNAcentral's name for it is "partial 16S ribosomal RNA". It matches the Rfam family "Bacterial small subunit ribosomal RNA", at positions 524 to 776 of the family's 1533-position model. The record is from RNAcentral.